UACGUAGGGGGCAAGCGUUAUCCGGAAUUACUGGGUGUAAAGGGAGCGUAGACGGUAAUAUAAGUCUGGAGUGAAAGGCGGGGGCCCAACCCCCGGACUGCUCUGGAAACUAUGUUACUAGAGUGCAGGAGAGGUAAGCGGAAUUCCUAGUGUAGCGGUGAAAUGCGUAGAUAUUAGGAGGAACACCAGUGGCGAAGGCGGCUUACUGGACUGUAACUGACGUUGAGGCUCGAAAGCGUGGGGAGCAAACAGG
RNAcentral lists this ribosomal RNA (253 nucleotides) under uncultured bacterium. RNAcentral's name for it is "partial 16S ribosomal RNA". It matches the Rfam family "Bacterial small subunit ribosomal RNA", at positions 524 to 776 of the family's 1533-position model. The record is from RNAcentral.